CGUCGGGCUUCUGGAUCGCUAAGCCUGCGAGUUGGGUCGAAAGACAGCGAACAGCUCAGUAACACAUGGUCAAGCUGCCCUAUGGUCCGGGAUAAUCUCGGGAAACUGAGUGUAAGCCCGGAUAGCUAACCUAUGCUGGAAUGCUUUGUUGGCUAAAGGUAACGCCGUAGGAUGCGACCAUGUCUCAUCAGGCAGUUGGCGGGGUAACGGCCCACCAAACCUACGACGAGUACGGGUUGUGCGAGCAAUAACCCGGAGAUGGGGACUGAGACAAUGCCCCAGGCCCUACGGGGCGCAGCAGGCGCGAAAACUUCGCAAUGACCGAAAGGUUGACGAGGGAAUCCUGAGUGCCGGUGCUUUUUAGUGCCGGCUUUUGACGACAGUAGACUAGUCGUUGAAUAAGGGCUGGGCAAGAUUGGUGCCAGCCGCCGCGGUAACCCCAACAGCCCGAGUGGUGGCCGCACUUACUUGGUUUAAAGCGUCCGUAGCUGGAGCAGAAAAUUCUGGGUGAAAUCCCGGCGCCCAACGUCGGGGCGGGCCCAGAAGACUGCUGCUCUUGGGACUGGGAGAGGGAAGGGGAACUCUUUGGGUAGGGGCUAAAUCCUAUAAUCCGAAGAUGACCACCGGUAGCGAAGGCGCCUUCCUGGAACAGGUCCGACGGUGAGGGACGAAGCCUAAGGGAGUAAACGGGAUUAGAUACCCCGGUAAUCUUAGGUGUAAACGAUGCUUGCCAGGUGUUGCCGUUGCCAAGUGCGGCGGCAGUGCCGCAGGGAAACCGUUAAGCAAGCCACCUGGGGAGUACGGUCGCAAGACUGAAACUUGAAG
Molecule: ribosomal RNA, 825 nt
Filed under: uncultured archaeon
Lineage: Archaea
Description: bacterial SSU rRNA
Rfam family: Archaeal small subunit ribosomal RNA
Source: RNAcentral